AGCAGCCGCGGUAAUUCCAGCUCCAAUAGCGUAUAUUAAAGUUGUUGCAGUUAAAAAGCUCGUAGUUGAAUUUCGGGGUUAGUAGGUUGGUCAUGCCUCUGGUAUGUACUGGUCUCACUGAUUCCUCCUUCCUGAUGAGCCGUAAUGCCAUUAAUUUGGUGUUGCGGGGAAUUUGGACUGUUACUUUGAAAAAAUUAGAGUGUUUAAAGCAAGCUAACGCUUGAAUACAUUAGCAUGGAAUAAUGAAAUAGGACGUUCGAUCCUAUUUUGUUGGUUUCUAGGAUUGACGUAAUGAUUAAUAGGGAUAGUUGGGGGCAUUAGUAUUCAAUUGUCAGAGGUGAAAUUCUUGGAUUCAUUGAAGACUAACUACUGCGAAAGCAUUUGCCAAGGAUGUUUUCAUUAAUCAAGAACGAAAGUUAGGGGAUCGAAGACGAUCAGAUACCGUCGUAGUCUUAACCAUAAACUAUGCCGACUAGGGAUCGGAUGAUGUUAAUUUUUUAAUGACUCA
Molecule: ribosomal RNA, 508 nt
Filed under: Glomus sp. Glo8
Lineage: Eukaryota; Fungi; Glomeromycota; Glomeromycetes; Glomerales; Glomeraceae
Description: SSU rRNA
Rfam family: Eukaryotic small subunit ribosomal RNA
Source: RNAcentral